Molecule: ribosomal RNA, 530 nt
Filed under: uncultured bacterium
Lineage: Bacteria
Description: bacterial SSU rRNA
Rfam family: Bacterial small subunit ribosomal RNA
Source: RNAcentral
CCUUGACAUCCAGCGAACUUUCCAGAGAUGGAUUGGUGCCUUCGGGAACGCUGAGACAGGUGCUGCAUGGCUGUCGUCAGCUCGUGUUGUGAAAUGUUGGGUUAAGUCCCGNAACGAGCGCAACCCUUAUCCUUUGUUGCCAGCGAUUCGGUCGGGAACUCAAAGGAGACUGCCGGUGAUAAACCGGAGGAAGGUGGGGAUGACGUCAAGUCAUCAUGGCCCUUACGAGUAGGGCUACACACGUGCUACAAUGGCGCAUACAAAGAGAAGCGACCUCGCGAGAGCAAGCGGACCUCAUAAAGUGCGUCGUAGUCCGGAUCGGAGUCUGCAACUCGACUCCGUGAAGUCGGAAUCGCUAGUAAUCGUGGAUCAGAAUGCCACGGUGAAUACGUUCCCGGGCCUUGUACACACCGCCCGUCACACCAUGGGAGUGGGUUGCAAAAGAAGUAGGUAGCUUAACCUUCGGGAGGGCGCUUACCACUUUGUGAUUCAUGACUGGGGUGAAGUCGUAACAAGGUAAGCGUAGCGAG